CCCUAGCCCUGAUGGAAGCGGCAUCCUUUUUCUGGCUUCUUUAGCCAGGAAAAGAUAAAGCGUACAGCAGGAAAUAGC
This 78-nucleotide small RNA is filed under the name Flavobacterium xueshanense. RNAcentral's name for it is "Flavo-1 RNA". It matches the Rfam family "Flavo-1 RNA". The record is from RNAcentral. Lineage: Bacteria; Pseudomonadati; Bacteroidota; Flavobacteriia; Flavobacteriales; Flavobacteriaceae.